RNAcentral lists this unclassified non-coding RNA (260 nucleotides) under Hevea brasiliensis (rubber tree). The record is from RNAcentral. Lineage: Eukaryota; Viridiplantae; Streptophyta; Magnoliopsida; Malpighiales; Euphorbiaceae.
CUCCCUCUCUCUAAAUCCCCAAUUUUUCAGAGUUUAGAAUCUCUGCAAUGGCGGCCGUCGACUCAGCCCCCACCGCACCAAUUGAAGCGCCCGCCGUCGAUCUCGCCCCGGCCGUCGCCGCCGAUGCCCCACCGGCGAAGCCGGCCAAGGUGAAAGCUACGAAGGCGCCGAAGGAGAAGAAGGCCUCAACGAAGAAGCCCGCCGUGCAUCCCCCAUAUCUUGAGAUGAUUGGCGAGGCGAUCGUGUCGCUGAAGGAGAGG